RNAcentral lists this transfer RNA (72 nucleotides) under Ovis aries (sheep). It matches the Rfam family "tRNA". Rfam says of the family: Transfer RNA (tRNA) molecules are approximately 80 nucleotides in length. Their secondary structure includes four short double-helical elements and three loops (D, anti-codon, and T loops). The record is from Rfam by way of RNAcentral. Lineage: Eukaryota; Metazoa; Chordata; Mammalia; Artiodactyla; Bovidae.
UCCCUUGUAGCUCAGUUGGUAAAGAAUCUGCCUGCAGUGUAGGGGUCCCAGGUUCAAUUCCUGGUUUGGGAA